RNAcentral lists this microRNA (22 nucleotides) under Caenorhabditis briggsae. RNAcentral's name for it is "Cbr-Mir-36-o4_5p* (star (passenger))". The record is from RNAcentral. Lineage: Eukaryota; Metazoa; Nematoda; Chromadorea; Rhabditida; Rhabditidae.
CACCGAUUUUUUCUGCGGUGAU